AACCGAAGGGGACAUGACAGCUUUGGAAGUGGAAGAGGAAACGCUGAAACGUCCCUCUCUAGCUACUGCGUAAUUGCUCUUAUUCUUAAUUAACUACUGGGGACCAGUAUGGUCGCCUACGUUGAACAUGCCGAUAUAUGGGCCCUUUUUCCUCCGGAUACAACCCUUAUAUGCUGGACCUUUCUAGCUAUCUCAAUCUACUACCUCCAUCAUGAAAUAAAAGGUAUUCUAGCUAUAUGCACCUGGAC
This 248-nucleotide long non-coding RNA is filed under the name Setaria italica (foxtail millet). RNAcentral describes it as "long non-coding RNA (SITA_LNC000952)". Lineage: Eukaryota; Viridiplantae; Streptophyta; Magnoliopsida; Poales; Poaceae. The record is from RNAcentral.